GGCAUCUAGAACCCAGACUCUAACAGGCCGUGCAAGGGGCUUUGGAACCUGCUCAACCAUGCUCAAUGCAACUUUUCCUCCAAAGCUGUGACCAACUACAACUCGGGGAGUCAGUCUGAGCUGGCCAAGCAGCUUUAGGACAUCAAGAGCAGCUGACGCGACUGUAUGUGUGCCUCUCUUCUUGAGGGAUGCUGAAUCACCAUGGCACCGCAAGUCCACCAGGAGAAACUGCCAUUUCGGAAAUUCUUGGGCCAAUCUCCUAGCAAAGCUUCCCCAGUUUUUCCUGCUGCCAAGAAUACCAUGCAAGAGAACAGCAGUCGGUGGUUCAGGCAACGAUCCCUCCAUAAUAUAACUCCAUUUUACUUUUGCUCCUUGAACGAGCUCAUAUGCCAGCACUUCAG
This 401-nucleotide unclassified non-coding RNA is filed under the name Hevea brasiliensis (rubber tree). The record is from RNAcentral. Lineage: Eukaryota; Viridiplantae; Streptophyta; Magnoliopsida; Malpighiales; Euphorbiaceae.